Molecule: ribosomal RNA, 253 nt
Filed under: uncultured bacterium
Lineage: Bacteria
Description: partial 16S ribosomal RNA
Rfam family: Bacterial small subunit ribosomal RNA
Source: RNAcentral
UACGGGGGGAGCAAGCGUUGUUCGGAUUUACUGGGCGUAAAGGGCGGGUAGGCGGCCACCGCAAGUCAGUUGUGAAAUCUCUGGGCUUAACCAGAAAGGUCAACUGAUACUGCGGGGCUAGAGUGCAGAAGGGGCAACUGGAAUUCUCGGUGUAGCGGUGAAAUGCGUAGAUAUCGAGAGGAACACCUGCGGCGAAGGCGGGUUGCUGGGCUGACACUGACGCUGAACUGCGAAAGCUAGGGGAGCGAACGGG